RNAcentral lists this small nuclear RNA (139 nucleotides) under Chinchilla lanigera (long-tailed chinchilla). RNAcentral's name for it is "U4 spliceosomal RNA (ENSCLAG00000020771.1)". The record is from RNAcentral. Lineage: Eukaryota; Metazoa; Chordata; Mammalia; Rodentia; Chinchillidae.
AGCUCUGCACAAUGGCACUGUUGUAGCCAAUGAGAUUUAUCUGAGGUGUGAUUAUUGCUAAUAGCAAAUAGAACAAUAGUACUAGCUGUCAACACCAGUAAUAGAAUGACAAGUAACAUUUAUUGAGUGCUAAGUGCAC